AAGAGACAGCAGUCGCCGCGGGAAUACGUAGGUCCCGAGCGUUGUCCGGAUUUAUUGGGCGUAGAGCGAGCGCAGGCGGUUAGAUAAGUCUGAAGUUAAAGGCUGUGGCUUAACCAUAGUACGCUUUGGAAACUGUUUAACUUGAGUGCAGAAGGGGAGAGUGGAAUUCCAUGUGUAGCGGUGAAAUGCGUGGAUAUAUGGAGGAACACCGGUGGCGAAAGCGGCUCUCUGGUCUGUCACUGACGCUGAGGCUCGAAAGCGUGGGUAGCGAACAGGAUUAGAUACCCGCGUAGUCCCUGUCUCUUAUACC
Molecule: ribosomal RNA, 310 nt
Filed under: uncultured bacterium
Lineage: Bacteria
Description: partial 16S ribosomal RNA
Rfam family: Bacterial small subunit ribosomal RNA
Source: RNAcentral